GGGUCUGGGAACAGCAUUCCCAGAGGUUAAAUGCGAUAGUCGGGCCGCUAUCC
RNAcentral lists this non-coding RNA (53 nucleotides) under Candidatus Desantisiibacteriota. RNAcentral's name for it is "Candidatus Desantisbacteria Li+-I sequence". It matches the Rfam family "nhaA-I RNA". Rfam says of the family: Acidobacteria, Alphaproteobacteria, Betaproteobacteria and Gammaproteobacteria, Verrucomicrobia, cand. division NC10. Downstream gene The record is from RNAcentral.